AGUGAACGCUGGCGGUAGGCCUAACACAUGCAAGUCGAACGGCAGCACAGUAAGAGCUUGCUCUUACGGGUGGCGAGUGGCGGACGGGUGAGGUAUACAUCGGAAUCUACUUUUUCGUGGGGGAUAACGUAGGGAAACUUACGCUAAUACCGCAUACGACCUACGGGUGAAAGCAGGGGAUCUUCGGACCUUGCGCGAUUGAAUGAGCCGAUGUCGGAUUAGCUAGUUGGCGGGGUAAAGGCCCACCAAGGCGACGAUCCGUAGCUGGCCUGAGAGGAUGAUCAGCCACACUGGAACUGAGACACGGUCCAGACUCCUACGGGAGGCAGCAGUGGGGAAUAUUGGACAAUGGGCGCAAGCCUGAUCCAGCCAUACCGCGUGGGUGAAGAAGGCCUUCGGGUUGUAAAGCCCUUUUGUUGGGAAAGAAAAGCAGCAGGUUAAUACCCCGCUGUUCUGACGGUACCCAAAGAAUAAGCACCGGCUAACUUCGUG
Molecule: ribosomal RNA, 492 nt
Filed under: uncultured bacterium
Lineage: Bacteria
Description: partial 16S ribosomal RNA
Rfam family: Bacterial small subunit ribosomal RNA
Source: RNAcentral